Non-coding RNA from Oryza meridionalis, 196 nucleotides. The record is from Rfam. NCBI's taxonomy places the organism in Eukaryota, Viridiplantae, Streptophyta, Magnoliopsida, Poales, Poaceae.
AAUAAGCGCAACCAUAAGUUUCCGUGUUCAAUUUUAAUUGUCCGUCUUAUUUAAAUUUUUUAUAAUUAGCAUUUUAUUGUUAUGAGAUGAUAAAAUAUAAAUAGUACAUGAUUUAUAUUUUUAAUUUUUUUAAAAAAAAAUUUUAAAUAAGACUAACGAUCGAAGUCCGGUCAAGGACGGCGCAGACCCAGUCACC